RNAcentral lists this long non-coding RNA (8186 nucleotides) under Zea mays. RNAcentral describes it as "long non-coding RNA (ZMAY_LNC000743)". Lineage: Eukaryota; Viridiplantae; Streptophyta; Magnoliopsida; Poales; Poaceae. The record is from RNAcentral.
AUCCCGUUCGCAAGGAAUCUCCACAAAUUGGAGUCUCUUGCCCUUACAAGUAUAUGAUCACAGAGAAGCACAGAGUAAGGGAGAGAAGCAACACACACAAAUCCACAGCGAAAUGCGCACACACACGGCCAAGAAUCGAGCUCGAAUGACUAUCUCAAAGUUCUCACUAGAACGGAGCUCGAAUCACUUAGAAUCACAAACGAAUGCGCAAAGAAUGAGUGUGGAUGAUCAAGAAUGCUCUAAGGUUGCUUGGGUGUCUCCUCCAUGCGCCUAGGGGUCCCUUUUAUAGCCCCAAGGCAGCUAGGAGCCGUUGAGAGCAAAUCUGGAAGGCUAUCCUUGCCUUCUGUCGUCGGGUGCACCGGACAGUCCGGUGUACACCGGACACUGUCCGGUGCCCGAUUUCUUUCCAAAAAUGGCGCUGCCGACCGUUGCAGACCGUUGCAGAUCUGAGAGCCGUUGGCGCACCGGACAUGUCCGGUGCCCCCUUCCGACCGUUGGCUCGGCCACCUGUCCCGCGCAGAUUGCGCGGCCGACCGUUGGCUCACCGGACAGUCCGGUGCACACCGGACAGUCCGGUGAAUUUUAGCCGUACGCCGACGGCGAAUUCCCGAGAGCAGCCAGUUCGCGCCGAGUCAGCCUGGCGCACCGGACACUGUCCGGUGCACACCGGACAGUCCGGUGUGCCAGACCGAGCUGAGUCUUGGCUGUACACAGCCAAGUCUUUUUCUCCUCUUUUCUUUUCUUCUUCUUUCUGUUUCUAACACUUAGACAAGUAUAUUAGUAUACAAAACCAAUGUACUAAGGCUUAGAAACAUACCUUUACUUCAUGAUUUGCACUUUGUUCAUCCAUGGACAUAAAUUCACAUUUAAGCACUUGUGUUGGCACUCAAUCACCAAAAUACUUAGAAAUGGCCCAAGGGCACAUUUCCCUUUCAAUCUCCCCCUUUUUGGUGAUUUAUGCCAACACAACAUAAAGCAAGUAGAACAAGUACAAAAUCAAAUCAAAUAAGAACUCAAAAUUGUUUUGAUUCACUUUUGACAUAUAUGGAUCACUCUAUGCCACCACUUGGUUUGUUUUUGCAAAUAAAACUCAAAUCUUUAUCUCUAAGUCAAACACACAUGUUGAAGCAUAAAGAGAGUCAUUCCAAAAGAGAUUGAUCAAAGAUUUCAAAAACUCCCCCUUUUUCCCAUAAUCACUACUUCUCCCCGCAAGAAGCCAACUUUUGAUAAGAGAGACAAGAGACAACAAAAAGAGUUUUGACAAACCAAAAGCUCUAUUUUACUAUUUUCAAAAUGAGAGACAAGAGACAACAAAAAGAGUUUUGACAAACCAAAAGCUCUAUUCUACUAUUUUCAAAAUCUCUCAAGUGGUAGCUGAUCCAUUUAUCACUUUGGCCUUUAUUUUCUCCCCCUUUGGCAUCAAGCACCAAAACGGGAUCAAUCUUGGCCCCAUAACCCCAUUGCCUCACCAAAAUCUUCAAUUAAGAGCAAGUGGCAAUAAGAGUUCAUUAGAUGAACUUGGAAUAGGUUACCCUCUCAUCGGAGUGCAGUGGAAGUCUUUCAUGGUCCAAGUCCACCUUUCCCUUUCAAUUCUCCUUUGAGACUAAAACAAGCAAACUCAAGCAUAUGGUUAGUCUCAAAGGGUCAAGUUGUAACACACCUCCCCCUAAAACUGUGCAUCACUUUGCAACGGACUUGUGAGGUCCAGGGAGUGUUUGUACAACUUGAGCACCACAAUAAGCAACAAGAUACAGAAUGAACAUGAUCAAAGGCAUAAACACAUGUAUGCUACAUUUCAAUCCAAGUUCCGCGAAUCUAAGAUAUUGAGCUCACUACGCAACCUGCAAAAGGUCUUCUCAUCUAAAGGCUUGGUAAAGAUAUCGGCUAGCUGGUUCUCGGUGCUAACAUGAAACACUUCGAUAUCCCCCUUUUGCUGGUGGUCUCUCAAAAAGUGAUGCCGGAUGUCAAUGUGCUUUGUGCGGCUGUGCUCAACAGGAUUUUCCGCUAUUCGGAUAGCACUCUCAUUGUCACAUAGGAGUGGGACUUUGCUCAGAUUGUAGCCAAAGUCCCUGAGGGUUUGCCUCAUCCAAAGUAGUUGCGCACAACACUGUCCUGCGGCAACGUACUCGGCCUCAACGGUGGAUAGGGCAACAGAGGUUUGUUUCUUAGAAUUCCAUGACACCAGGGACCUUCCUAAGAAUUGGCACGUCCCCGAUGUACUCUUCCUGUCGACCUUACAUCCAGCAUAGUCGGAAUCUGAGUACCCAAUCAAGUCAAAGUUAGACCCCUUUGGAUACCAGAUCUCGAAGCAAGGCGUAGCGACUAAAUAUCGAAGAAUUCGCUUCACAGCCACUAAGUGACACUCCUUAGGAUUGGAUUGAAAUCUGGCACACAUGCAUACGCUAAGCAUAAUAUCCGGUCUACUAGCACAUAAAUAAAGUAAAGACCCUAUCAUUGACCGGUAUGCUUUUUGAUCAACGGACUUACCUCCUUUGUUGAGGUCGGUGUGUCCGUCGGUUCCCAUCGGCGUCUUUGCGGGCUUUGCGUCCUUCAUCCCAAACCUCUUUAGCAAAUCUUGUGUGUACUUAGUUUGGGAGAUGAAGGUGCCGUCCUUGAGUUGCUUCACUUGGAACCCAAGGAAGUAGGUCAACUCGCCCAUCAUCGACAUCUCGAAUUUCUGCAUCAUAACCCUGCUAAACUCUUCACAAGACUUUUGGUUAGUAGAACCAAAUAUUAUGUCGUCGACAUAAAUCUGGCACACAAAAAGAUCACCAUCGCAAGUCUUAGUAAAAAGAGUUGGAUCGGCUUUCCCAACCUUGAAAGCAUUAGCAAUUAAGAAGUCUCUAAGGCAUUCAUACCAUGCUCUUGGGGCUUGCUUAAGUCCAUAGAGCGCCUUAGAGAGCUUACACACAUGGUCGGGGUACCGUUCAUCCUCGAAGCCAGGGGGUUGCUCCACGUACACCUCCUCCUUGAUUGGCCCAUUGAGGAAAGCGCUCUUCACAUCCAUUUGGUACAACCUGAAAAAAUGGUGAGCGGCAUAUGCUAGCAAGAUACGAAUUGAUUCUAGCCUAGCCACAGGAGCAAACGUCUCCUCAAAGUCCAAACCUGCGACUUGGGCAUAACCUUUUGCCACAAGUCGAGCCUUGUUCCUCGUCACCACCCCGUGCUCGUCCUGUUUGUUGCGGAACACCCACUUGGUUCCCACAACAUUUUGCUUGGGACGAGGCACCAGUGUCCAAACUUCGUUGCGCUUGAAGUUGUUGAGUUCCUCCUGCAUGGCCAAUACCCAAUCCGGAUCUAGCAAGGCCUCCUCUACCCUGAAAGGCUCAAUAGAAGAGACAAAAUAGUAAUGCUCACAAAAAUUAACUAAUCGAGAUCGAGUAGUUACUCCCUUGCUAAUGUCACCCAGAAUUUGGUCGACGGGAUGAUCCCUUUGAAUCAUCGCUCGAACUUGGGUUGGAGGUGCCGGUUGCGCUUCUUCCUCCAACACAUGAUCAUCUUGUGCUCCCCCUUGAUCACACGCCUCCUGUUGAUGAAUCUGUUCAUCGUCUUGAGUUGGGGGAUGCACCGUUGUUGAGGAAGAAGGUUGAUCUCGUUCAUCUUGUUCCUGUGGCCGUACUUCUCCAAUCGCCAUAGUUCGUAUAGCGGCCGUUGGAACAUCUUCUUCAUCUACAUCAUCACAAUCAACAACUUGCUCUCUUGGAGAGCCAUUAGUCUCAUCAAAUACAACGUCGCUAGAGACUUCAACCAAACCCGAUGAUUUGUUGAAGACCCUAUACGCCUUUGUAUUUGAAUCAUAACCUAAUAAAAACCCUUCUACAGCUUUGGGAGCAAACUUAGAAUUUCUACCCUUCUUCACUAGAAUGUAGCAUUUGCUCCCAAAUACACGAAAGUAAGAUACAUUGGGUUUGUUACCGGUUAGAAGAUCGUACGAAGUCUUCUUGAGGAGGCGAUGAAGGUAGACCCUGUUGAUGGCGUGGCAAGCCGUGUUCACAGCUUCCGACCAAAAGCACUCGGGGGUCUUGAACUCUCCAAGCAUCGUUCUUGCCAUAUCGAUCAGCGUCCUGUUCUUCCUCUCUACCACACCAUUUUGCUGUGGUGUGUAGGGAGCGGAGAACUCGUGCUUGAUCCCUUCCUCCUCAAGGAACUCCUCCACUUGAAGGUUCUUGAACUCGGACCCGUUGUCGCUCCUUAUCUUCUUUACCUUGAGCUCAAACUCAUUUUGAGCUCUCCUGAGGAAGCGCUUGAGGGUCCCUUGGGUUUCAGACUUAUCCUGCAAAAAGAACACCCAAGUGAAGCGGGAAAAGUCAUCAACAAUAACUAGACCAUACUUACUUCCUCCUAUGCUCAGAUAGGCGACGGGUCCAAAGAGGUCCAUAUGCAGCAGCUCCAGAGGUCUUGACGUGGUCAUCACAUUCUUGCUGUGAUGUGCUCCUCCCACUUGUUUACCUGCUUGACAAGCUGCACAAGGUCUAUCUUUUUCGAAAUAAACAUUUGUUAGACCUAUCACGUGUUCUCCCUUUAGAAGCUUGUGGAGGUUCUUCAUCCCCACAUGUGCUAAGCGGCGAUGCCACAGCCAGCCCAUGCAAGUCUUAGCCAUUAAGCAUGCAUCUAGACCGGCCUCUUCUUUUGCAAAAUCAACUAAGUAAAGCUUGCCGUCUAGUACACCCUUAAAAGCUAGUGAACCAUCACAUCUUCUAAAGACAGACACAUCUACAUUAGUAAAAAGACAAUUAUAUCCCAUAUUGCAUAGUUGACUAACAGAUAGCAAAUUGUAACCAAGAGACUCAAUUAAAAAUACAUUUGAUAUUGAGUGCUCAUUAGAGAUUGCAAUUUUACCUAACCCUUUUACCUUGCCUUGAUUCCCAUCACCGAAUAUAAUUGAAUCUUGGGAAUCCUUAUUUUUGACGUAGGAGGUGAACAUCUUCUUCUCCCCCGUCAUAUGGUUUGUGCAUCCGCUGUCGAUAAUCCAGCUUGAACCCCCGGAUGCAUAAACCUGCAAGGCAAAUUUAGGCUUGGGUCUUAGGUACCCAACUCAUGUUGGGUCCUACAAGGUUAGCACAUAUAUCCUUAGGGACCCAAAUGCAAGUUUUAUCUCCCUUGCAUCUUGCCCCUAACUUCCUAGCAAUUACCUUCUUACCCUUUCUACAAAUAGCAAAGGGAGCAUUGCAAGCAUAAUAAAUGGUAGAAGGUUUGUUCACAACUAUUCUAGGAACAUGAUCAAAAUUUCUCCUAGGCAUAUGCACAACAUUUCUCCUACACAUAUCUCUAUCAUGCUUAUAGGAAGAACUAGAAGCAAACAUGGCAUGAGAAUCAUAAACAUGUGAAUCAAAAUCAUUAUAAGCAUUUCUAGCAUGUCUCCUAUCAUGGUAUAAGAAAGCAUGGUUCUUUUUAGCACUACUAGCCAUAGGGGCCUUCCCUUUCUCCUUGACGAAGAUGGGAGCCUUAUGGCUUGUUAAGUUCUUGGCCUCUCUCUUGAAGCCAAGACCAUCCUUAAUUGAGUGGUGUCUACCAACCGUGUAGGCAUCCCUUGCAAAUUUUAUUUUAUCAACUUCACUCUUGCUAGUCUUAAGUUGAGCAUUAAGACUAGCCAAUUCAUCAUUAAGUUUUGAAAUUGAAACUAGGUGUUCACUACAAGCAUUAACAUCAAAAUCCUUACACCUAGUGCAAAUUGUAACAUUUUCAACACAAGAGUUACUUGCUACUUCUAGUUUAGCGGUUAAAACAUUAAUUUCACCUUUUAAAGAAGAAAUGGUUUCAUUACAAGUAGAAAGUUCACAAGAAAGAAUUCCAUUUCUUUUAACUUCUAGAGCAAGUGAAUUUUGUGCACUAACAAAUUUAUCAUGCUCUUCAUAUAAAAGAUCUUCUUGUUUUUCUAAGAUUCUAUCCUUUUCAUUCAAGGCAUCAAUCAAUUCAUUAAUCUUAGCUAUCUUAGUUCUAUCCAAUCCCUUGAAUAAACUAGAAUAAUCUAUUUCAUCCUCACUCGACUCAUCAUCACUAGAAGAAUCAUAAGUAUUAGCAUUACUAGUGAUUACCUUCUUCUCCCUUGCCAUGAGGCAAGUGUGACGCUCGUGGGGGAAGAGAGCCGAUUUGUUGAAGGCAGUGGCGGCGAGUCCUUCGUCGUCGGAGUCGGACAAAGAGCAAUCUGAGUCCCACUCCUUUCCAAGGUGUGCUUCACCUUUGGCCUUCUUGUAAACUUUCUUGUUCUCUCUCUUCCCGUUUUUCCCUUGCUCCUGGUCACUAUCAUUUUCGGGACAGUUAGCAAUAAAAUGACCAACCUUACCACAUUUGAAGCAUGAGCGCUUCCCCUUUGUCUUGGUCUUGCUUGUCUGCCCCUUGCGACCAUUUAGCGACGUCUUGAAUCUCUUGAUGAUGAGAGCCAUUUCUUCAUCAUUGAGCCCGGCCGCCUCAACUUGCGCCACCUUGCUAGGUAGCGACUCCUUGCUCCUUGUUGCCUUGAGAGCAAUGGGUUGAGGCUCGUGGAUUGGACCGUUCAACGCUUCGUCGACGUAUCUUGCCUCCUUGAUCAUCAUCCGCCCGCUUACGAAUUUUCCAAGUACUUCCUCGGGCGUCAUCAUCGUGUACCUAGGAUUCUCACGAAUAUUGUUCACGAGAUGAGGAUCAAGAACGGUAAAGGACCUUUGCAUUAGGCGGACGACGUCGUGGUCCGUCCAUCGCGUGCUUCCGUAGCUCCUUAUUUUGUUGAUAAGGGUCUUGAGCCGGUUGUACGUUUGAGUUGGCUCCUCUCCCCUUAUCAUGGCGAAUCAUCCAAGCUCGCCCUCCACCAACUCCAUCUUGGUGAGCAUGGUGAUGUCGUUCCCCUCGUGAGAGAUCUUGAGGGUGUCCCAUAUUUGCUUGGCAUUGUCCAAGCCGCUCACCUUGUUGUACUCUUCCCUGCACAAGGAUGCUAAGAGAACAGUAGUAGCUUGUGCAUUUCUAUGGAUCUGUUCAUUUAUAAGCAAAGGGCUAUCCGAGCUAUCAAAUUUCAUUCCAUUUUCUACAAUCUCCCAUAUGCUUGGAUGGAGAGAGAAUAAGUGACUACGCAUUUUGUGACUCCAAAAUCCGUAGUCCUCCCCAUCGAAGUGUGGAGGUUUGCCAAGAGGAAUGGAAAGCAAAUGCGAAUUCGAACUAUGUUGAAUACGAGAAUAAUCAAAUGAAAAGUUCGAAUUGACCGUCUUUUUGUAGUCGUUGUCGUCGUCCUUUUGGGAAGAAGUAGAUUCAUCACUAUCAUCGUAGUAGAUGAUCUCCUUAAUGCGCCUCGUCUUCUUCUUCUUCCCUUCCUUCCGUCUAUGGCCCGAGCCGGAGUCGGUAGGCUUGUCGUCCUUCGGCUCAUUGACGAAGGAUUCCUUCUCUUUGUCGUUGAUCACAAUUCCCUUCCCCUUAGGAUCCAUCUCUUCGGGCGGUUAGUCCCUUUUGUGAAGAGAACGGCUCUGAUACCAAUUGAGAGCACCUAGAGGGGGGGGUGAAUAGGUGAUCCUGUGAAAACUUGAACUUAUAGCCACAAAAACUUGUUAAGUGUUAGCGCAGAUAAUGCCAAGUGGCUAGAUAGGAGUCUCCACAAAACACAAUAACCACAGAAGAUCAAUCACAGAGAUGGCACAGUGGUUUAUCCCGUGGUUCGGCCAAGACCAACGCUUGCCUACUCCACGUUGUGGCGUCCCAACGGACGAGAGUUGCAAUCAACCCCUCUCAAGCGGUCCAAAGACCAACUUGAAUACCACGGUGUUUUGCUUUGCCUUUCAAUAUCCCGUUCGCAAGGAAUCUCCACAAAUUGGAGUCUCUUGCCCUUACAAGUAUAUGAUCACAGAGAAGCACAGAGUAAGGGAGAGAAGCAACACACACAAAUCCACAGCGAAAUGCGCACACACACGGCCAAGGAAUCGAGCUCGAAUGACUAUCUCAAAGUUCUCACUAGAACGGAGCUCGAAUCACUUAGAAUCACAAACGAAUGCGCAAAGAAUGAGUGUGGAUGAUCAAGAAUGCUCUAAGGUUGCUUGGGUGUCUCCUCCAUGCGCCUAGGGGUCCCUUUUAUAGCCCCAAGGCAGCUAGGAGCCGUUGAGAGCAAAUCUGGAAGGCUAUCCUUGCCUUCUGUCGUCGGGUGCACCGGACAGUCCGGUGUACACCGGACACUGUCCGGUGCCCGAUUUCUUUCCAAAAAUGGCGCUGCCGACCGUUGCAGACCGUUG